Molecule: unclassified non-coding RNA, 346 nt
Filed under: soil metagenome
Description: partial contains 5.8S ribosomal RNA, internal transcribed spacer 2, and large subunit ribosomal RNA
Rfam family: 5.8S ribosomal RNA (bases 1-120)
Source: RNAcentral
GAUGAAGAACGUAGCGAAAUGCGAUACGUAAUGUGAAUUGCAGAAUUCAGUGAAUCAUCGAGUCUUUGAACGCACAUUGCGCCCCCUGGUAUUCCGGGGGGCAUGCCUGUCCGAGCGUCAUUGCUGCCCUCAAGCACGGCUUGUGUGUUGGGCCUCCGUCCUCCUCCCGGGGGACGGGCCCGAAAGGCAGCGGCGGCACCGCGUCCGGUCCUCGAGCGUAUGGGGCUUCGUCACCCGCUCUUGUAGGCCCGGCCGGCGCUUGCCGACACAUCAAUCUUUUUUCCAGGUUGACCUCGGAUCAGGUAGGGAUACCCGCUGAACUUAAGCAUAUCAAUAAGCCGGAGGA